GCAAGUCGAACGGGCUCUUCGGAGCAAGUGGCGGACGGGUGAGUAACGCGUGAGAAUGUGCCUUCAGGAUGGGGAUAACAAUAGGAAACUAAUGCUAAGACCCAAUGUGCUGAAAAGUGAAAAAUGAAAAUUGCCUGAAGAGGAGCUCGCGUCUGAUUAGCUAGUUGGGGUGGUAAAAGCGCACCAAGGCGACGAUCAGUAGCUGGUCUGAGAGGAUGAGC
Molecule: ribosomal RNA, 221 nt
Filed under: uncultured bacterium
Lineage: Bacteria
Description: partial 16S ribosomal RNA
Rfam family: Bacterial small subunit ribosomal RNA
Source: RNAcentral